AAAGCCCUGCUGUGCUCGGGAUGAAACUGGCUUUGUAAUGAGCCAACACCAUUACAAAGGGAAUUCAACUCCAAGAGUGGAUAGUACGCCUUGCAAGAAGGACACUUGAAGCUGUUGGGAGGAUACCCACCUGCCGAGAGCAGGUUCAUUCUAGUCAGUUCAACGGCAUAGUGGGGAGAAA
RNAcentral lists this non-coding RNA (181 nucleotides) under Bacillota bacterium. RNAcentral's name for it is "Firmicutes bacterium (anaerobic digester metagenome) 6S RNA". It matches the Rfam family "6S / SsrS RNA". From Rfam's summary of the family: E. coli 6S RNA was the first non coding RNA to be sequenced, but its function was unknown until recently. The record is from RNAcentral. Lineage: Bacteria; Bacillati; Bacillota.